AUAAGAGAGAAGCUGUCCAAAUUAGAAUUUGACUUUUAAGUGAAAAGGCUUAAAUUAAUUAGGGGGACGAUAAGACCCUAUAAAACUUGAUAAAAGGCUUAUUUUAACUAUAAAUUAUAUUUAAAAGUUGUGAAAUUCUCUUUUUAUUUUGUUGGGGCGACAUUGAUAUAAGCUGUAACUGUCUUGAUAAUAAAAUAGUUAUCACUACAAUCUGAUCCUUUUUUAGGGAUAAUAAGUAUAAGUUACUUUAGGGAUAACAGCGUAAUUUUUUCUGAGAGUUCUUCUUGAAGGAAGUAGCCGCACAUGAUCUGAGUCAGACCG
This 321-nucleotide ribosomal RNA is filed under the name Palaemon styliferus. RNAcentral describes it as "partial large subunit ribosomal RNA". Lineage: Eukaryota; Metazoa; Arthropoda; Malacostraca; Decapoda; Palaemonidae. The record is from RNAcentral.